AGAGAAGUGAGAAAAACAGAGAGAGCAUUCUACAGAAAUUUUCAAGGAGGACAGUUUACAUUUCUGAGUUUUGGGAGCUUGUUUACUGUUGGAUCAAGCUCAAAUUUGGUCUGCAGCAUCUUCACAUCUGGUUCUUCAUUGUGAAUGGUGGAGAUCUUGUUUGGAUCUCUGUUUCUUCUGUUUUUGGUUACUUGAAUAGCUGCUAUUUUUCAUUGAUUUUCAGCACAGACCUGUUUCAUCAUUUCCAACAAUCGGAAGACCAUUUGUGGUCCGAUUGAGCUAAAUUUUGAUGGGCACAGCGGGGACAUGUUGUUCUUUAAUCUUACUGUGGAGAUCGGGUUUUGACAAAUAGAAGGCGG
Molecule: unclassified non-coding RNA, 359 nt
Filed under: Hevea brasiliensis (rubber tree)
Lineage: Eukaryota; Viridiplantae; Streptophyta; Magnoliopsida; Malpighiales; Euphorbiaceae
Source: RNAcentral